UACGUAGGGGGCAAGCGUUGUCCGGAUUUAUUGGGCGUAAAGAGCGUGUAGGCGGCUUUACAGGUCCGUUGUGAAAACUCGAGGCUCAACCUCGAGACGCCGGUGGAAACCGUAAGGCUAGAGUCCGGAAGAGGAGAGUGGAAUUCCUGGUGUAGCGGUGAAAUGCGCAGAUAUCAGGAAGAACACCUAUGGCGAAGGCAGCACUCUGGGACGGUACUGACGCUGAGACGCGAAAGCGUGGGGAGCGAACAGG
RNAcentral lists this ribosomal RNA (253 nucleotides) under uncultured bacterium. RNAcentral's name for it is "partial 16S ribosomal RNA". It matches the Rfam family "Bacterial small subunit ribosomal RNA", at positions 524 to 776 of the family's 1533-position model. The record is from RNAcentral.